RNAcentral lists this unclassified non-coding RNA (277 nucleotides) under Hevea brasiliensis (rubber tree). The record is from RNAcentral. Lineage: Eukaryota; Viridiplantae; Streptophyta; Magnoliopsida; Malpighiales; Euphorbiaceae.
GUUUUCUUUAGUGAUCAUACCUUCAAUGAUUUCAAUACUCUCUUCAGAUCUCUCCCUCCAGAAAGACCAUAUUUUGCUGCUGGUGUGCCAGGGUCAUUCCACGGGAGGCUNNNNNNNAUUUUGUCCAUAGCUCCCAUGCUUUACAUUGGAUCUCCCAGGUGCCAAAAGAGAUCCUGGAUAAGAGCUCACCUGCAUGGAACAAGGGCAGAAUUUACUACACAGGUGCACCAGAUGAAGUUGGAAAAGCUUAUGCCAUCCAGUUUGCAAAGGACGUGGG